GGAGAUAUGGCGGAAAAGUUACGCGACUGGCUUGAAACUAGUUUGAUAGGAGUUCAAUUCUUC
This 63-nucleotide transfer RNA is filed under the name Yoda sp. d ASH-2021. RNAcentral's name for it is "tRNA-Ser". It matches the Rfam family "tRNA", at positions 1 to 62 of the family's 71-position model. From Rfam's summary of the family: Transfer RNA (tRNA) molecules are approximately 80 nucleotides in length. The record is from RNAcentral. Lineage: Eukaryota; Metazoa; Hemichordata; Enteropneusta; Torquaratoridae.